GUUGCCAAUGACAUCGCGUCCGUCCUCGGGGGCAAAGAUCCAGUGGUCGGCCGCCGUGACGGCGCACUUUACGCCGUGCGUGAUGCCACGUUGGGCCAGCAGGCGCUUGACCUCCUUGCCUAGGAGGCAUACGCCGACAUCGGCAAUGUCCAUCACGCGGUGGGCCUGUGUCGCGUCGGUCUUGUUACCGGCGCCCAUGCACGAGAUCAACGGGAUGCCGUUCUCCACGGCGUGCCCGAUGAGCGCCACCAAGCGGCCCAUGGAGCAAUCGGCGUUGGUCGCGCUCUCGAUCGGUUCGGCAAAUGUCGCCACAUGUUGUUGGUCCCGUUGCUGCUCGCCUCUGCGCAGGCGCGCCUCGUCGUCAAGCUGGGCGAGGACAUCGUCAAUGGCAGGUGCCGUAGGACCGCCGGCGCCAUUGACCAAGAGAGAUGUUUGCACGGCGCGCGGUCUCUUUUGGGUGUCGAGGUCCAGAUCGACGCGCGCCAGAUGACUGAAAUUGCUCCCAGCCUUGAUGAUGGGCACGUGACCGACCCACUCGCACAUGGCAUGGCGGUCAUGGCCGCCCAACACGACGUCGAUAUCGGGGACGGCGCUGACCAACUGGCGGUCCUCGGCAACCGAGAGAUGGGUGAUCGCCACGAUGGCAUGAACGCCCUUUUGCGCGAGCGCGCCGCCACACCCUGGCGCGCCCGUUCGACCACGGGAGCAAAUGCCACAUCGGGUCCUGAAGCCGACAACUUGGGCGUGUCGGGCGUACACAGACCUAUAAUGCCCACGCGGUGACCCUCGGCAGUGGUAAACACGGCCUCGCUGGUGCCACAGCCAAAUGGCUCGCCGCCUUGGAGAACAUUGGUGCACACCCAGUCGAAAUGGCACUCGCGCAUGCGCUGCCGAAACACGUCGGCGCCGCGCUCGUACUCGUGGUUGCCUGGCACGGCAUAGUCGACGCCCAACUUGUUCAGGAGCGCGGGCAUGUGCCUGCACGACUCGGCCGGCGUCCAAUGCGACAGGUCGGGUUCGGCCGAGAGCACGUCACCGCAUGCCACCAACAGACUCUGACCGCUCACGUGUCGCUCCCGGUCGAUGAGCGCCGCCAGGCCUGUGAUACCACCGUAAGGACCCCACGGGCGCAAGUUGUGGGCGUCGCCAAAAGCGACGAGUGUCAGUCGCUCACUGGGCCGGGCCAUCGAUCAGGGUUUUGGCUCCUUUUUAUUUUUGAAAAAAAAACAACAGAGCAGACUAGCACAUGAGGACAUCCCAGUCGCGCAAUAAAUGUUUGGG
This 1281-nucleotide long non-coding RNA is filed under the name Pandoravirus neocaledonia. RNAcentral's name for it is "hypothetical ncRNA". The record is from RNAcentral.